UACGUAGGGCGCAAGCGUUGUCCGGAAUUAUUGGGCGUAAAGAGCUCGUAGGCGGCCUGUUACGUCGGCUGUGAAAACCCGGGGCUCAACCCCGGGCCUGCAGUCGAUACGGGCAGACUAGAGUGCGGUAGGGGAGACUGGAAUUCCCGGUGUAGCGGUGAAAUGCGCAGAUAUCAGGAGGAACACCGGUGGCGAAGGCGGGUCUCUGGGCCGUAACUGACGCUGAGGAGCGAAAGCGUGGGGAGCGAACAGG
This 253-nucleotide ribosomal RNA is filed under the name uncultured bacterium. Its description in RNAcentral is "partial 16S ribosomal RNA". It matches the Rfam family "Bacterial small subunit ribosomal RNA", at positions 524 to 776 of the family's 1533-position model. The record is from RNAcentral.